AUACGUAGGUGGCAAGCGUUGUCCGGAUUUUACUGGGCGUAAAGGGAGCGUAGGCGGACUUUUAAGUGGGAUGUGAAAUACCCGGGCUUAACCUGGGUGCUGCAUUCCAAACUGGGAGUCUAGAGUGCAGGAGGGGAAAGUGGAAUUCCUAGUGUAGCGGUGAAAUGCGUAGAGAUUAGGAAGAACACCGGUGGCGAAGGCGACUUUCUGGACUGUAACUGACGCUGAGGCUCGAAAGCGUGGGGAGC
RNAcentral lists this ribosomal RNA (248 nucleotides) under uncultured bacterium. Its description in RNAcentral is "partial 16S ribosomal RNA". It matches the Rfam family "Bacterial small subunit ribosomal RNA", at positions 523 to 769 of the family's 1533-position model. The record is from RNAcentral.